CUGAUUUCCCUAGAGUCUGAUGACCUCUAUUUAUCCACAGAAAGGUACUGCAUGCACAACAGUAAUAUGAGCUUCCCUACCAAUGCACUGCUAACUUGCCUCAACCCUGUCUUGAGGCGAUCACAUCUAUAGGCAAGGAAAUGAAUCUAUUCUCUCACCCAUUCAACCUAAAGCCCAC
RNAcentral lists this small RNA (178 nucleotides) under Chelonoidis abingdonii (Abingdon island giant tortoise). Its description in RNAcentral is "TUC338 (ENSCABG00000002332.1)". The record is from RNAcentral. Lineage: Eukaryota; Metazoa; Chordata; Testudines; Testudinidae.